Molecule: long non-coding RNA, 12829 nt
Filed under: Marmota monax (woodchuck)
Lineage: Eukaryota; Metazoa; Chordata; Mammalia; Rodentia; Sciuridae
Source: RNAcentral
GCCGCAGGGCCUGCUGGGCGCCGGGAAGCCAGAGACUGAGCUCAGCGAAGCGCGGCGGUGGCAUGUGGCGGCCGGUGAGGACUCGCUCAUCCCGGGACCCGACCCCGCCCGCCCGGGACUCCCGCCCCAGGCCCCGAGAUCCCAGUCACCCGGACCCCCGCUCCAGGACCCAGACCCCGCAUGCCAAGGACGCCCACCUGAGUGCUCCAGACCCCCUCAGGCCCCCACCUCCCCAUCCGGCUCCCAUCCUUCUCUGCCCCUCGCAACCCUAGUGCUCUUUGACUGCCCCUGGCCCUCUGACCCUGAGGGAGCGAGUGGACACCACACAACAGCCCAGGAGAGGCGCAGCCCGCUUGCGCCCCACCCCCAGUCCUCUCAGUCCUCCGGGAGAGGGGGACACUCUUCCAGUCCCUGUCUGCAGCGGGACCCGUCCCCUCCCUGCGAGAACCCGUUCCCUCUUCUGUUUGAGGGAAGGGAGAGAAUUAGUGGGUCUCGACGGACUCAGGGUGGCCCUCCCCUCCCGGUCCCCCAUCUUCUACACUGGCGAUGGCUCUGUCCUUGGAGGCGCCCUGGAUUAUGGCCCUUUCUCCAGCAGCGUUUUUUGUGUGUUCUUUGUUGUUGUUUGCAGUACUGGGGAUCGAAUCUGGAGUGUUCUGUCACUGAGGUAUACCCCCAUCGCUUUUAGUUUUUUUAAAUUUUGAGACAGGGUCUUGCUACAUGGCUCAGGUGGGUCUCAAAGUUGACAUGACUCUCCUGCCUCAGCCUCCUGAGCUGGGAGUAUAGGGCAGUGCCACUGUGUGGUGUUCCUUUUUGGGGUUUUCUGUAGAGCUUGUGUUUUUCUAGGAAGCCUGGCCUUCAAGGUUAGGUACUGAUAAGACCACAAGUCUGCCAGCUCGUGGCUUGCAGUGGGUAGCUUUGUUGCAGAAGAGUAUUUUCUGGGCUGACAACGAUGGAGUGAUGUUAGAGAGUCAGGCAGAGACAGGGUUGGCCUUUGGCAAUGCUUCUUCACAUACCAGGCCACCAAUCCUCCAGACAGCCCCAGGGAGCAGACAGGCCUCUGAGUAGGAGCUGCUUUGAGCUUUGAGUACAGCUUGGUCCAGCAGGCUUUGAGCACGAGAGCAUUUCUAGUCACCAGAACCAAUUUCCUGGCUCAGCUUUGCAGUCUGACUCUUGGUUUUCUUUCCUGUUAGGGUGCAUAGGGCUGUGGAUCCUGUUGUUAAGCUGCUUGGUUCUAGUCCCCUCUUUUAGUUUUUCUUUUAAAGCCUCAUUUUGAGAGUCCUAGUUGCUUCUUCCUGCCACAGGCUGGCUUAUCUGUGGCCACCUUUCAUCUUUCCUCCAAUUUGCUCUCUGACCUGCAGAGAAACAGGAGGACUCAGCCCUGCUCUGCCUGAUAGCACCCACUUUGGGUACCUAUUGGAGAGGUAAUAUUCAGAGCUUGCUUUUGCUACUUUAUAGAUUUCUGUUUCCACUGGAAACAGCAGCUAUUGGAGAAAAACUGGGCAAGUGUUUCUUUUUGCAGACAGACUGGACACACAAGCCCUAUAAGCAGUAUGAGGGCUCGGGUAAAGGGAGCCAGUUUCAUUUUGUCCAAACUGGAAGGAGAGGGGUUGCUGCUGGGACCAGUAUAGCCAGAGCAGUCCCAGUUGGUAGGAGUAUGUGGUCUCAACAACGGGGAGGAGCUGGUGAUAUGCGCGACAAUGUCCUGGGAUCGAGUCUUCUCUGCCUUUUUGCCAGUGGUUUGGUGGUUGUGUCCUGGGUGGGGUUUGGUUUAUGUGCAGUGUGGUGGAAAUUAUUCUGGCUGUGGGCUUGGCCCCACAUACACUAUUUGGGCUCUGAGAGUCCCUCUGACAUGGGAAUUUCAAAGAUGAUUGCUUGGAGAACCCUGGGCAUCCCACACUAGGAGGCAGACAGUAGAAUUGCCCGAUGAGCUUGUAGGAGUUCUUGGGCCAUCUGCAUGAGAUCUUGUCCACUUUUGUCCUGUCUAGGGCUGGACUUGCCCUCUGUUGCCUGACUGUGACCUUCUGCCUAUUGCUUGGCAGAGGUCCUAGUGUGAGCUGUGUAGGUUAGUUCUGUGCUUGCCCCCCCCCCCUUAAUGUUAUUGUAUUUUUAGACCUUUAAUUAAUUUAUUAAUUUAUUUUUAUGUGAUGCUGAGGAUCUAAUCCAAUUCCUCACAAAUGCUAGGCAAGUGUCUACCGCUGAGCUGCAAUCACAGCCCCCGCUCGGCCUCUUUUGUCUCUCAACAAGUGUGUGUGCCUCACCCCAGCACAGCACUCAGUCCUGGAAGUGUGGAGCUGCUUGGGAGGUGGACCAGCCAGAGACAAGUGCUUUAAGUUCACUGUCAUGCCAGCCCGGAGAAGGACAGUGGGAGAGGGGUGUACAAGAUGCAGAGGAACAAGGAAGAGGAACAUAGUGAGCAGGGUGGACCCACCGAUGGGGUGGGGAGUUGCAGGUGGGAUCCCAGGGCCAGAGCUCCUACUGUAGUGUGGGUUCCUAGGAAAACAUCAGGAAACUGUGACUGGGUGUGAUGCUUAGGGGCCAGAGCCUCCUGACUUCACCUGUGAGAGCAGUGUGCCCCGUGCUGGUGAGGUACUGGGACCUGCACACUUAGGCCUCAGCUGCCCACCCGAGUCUUGAUAGAAUGGGCAGUCACCAGAAGCACCCAGAGCCUCCAGUUUCAUUGUAAAAUAGUUCAGAUGAGUGUUCUUUUCUGUCAAAGAACUGUGUGUUUUAAUAUAUGAAAGCGAUGUGACUUGAUUAUUUCCCUUCCAAACCUUUGGGGACAGUGUGCUUGACUCUGUGACCUUGGGAACAAUACUGAGCACUGUGGCCUUGGGGACCCUGCUUGAGGAUCUUACCACAGGAUGCCGAGGCCUCUGUGUCAGCUAAGAAAGCAGUUAGAUCUGGGUCUUCCUCCCAGCUUUGCCAGGUCUUGUGAGUAAGGACAUGUAAAGUCCCCAUCUUAAGUGACACCUACUUUUACAGCAUGUCUAUUAAGUGCCAGUCCCAAGUGAGCUCCCCUCUCCAACCUUGAAAAUGUCCAUUUUUUCCCCAGAUUCAGUGGGGGCUUCUCCAGGCACACUAGCCUUACCCUAACUCAGCACUUGGUGGGCUCUACCUCCUCAGCAACACCCCUUCAGCAUGAGGGUGCCAUCUAGACACUGCUAUUGCCUGGGGUCACCAGAAGACCUGAGGGGCUGGUGGCUGAUGCUUGACUGGGUUGUGCACACUCUCCUUUGGAGAUGAACCCUUCCUGAGGCUUCUUUGAACCUCCCUGAAGGGCUUGGGACCUUUCCCAGGCAGAAUUGGUGGACAUGGAGUGUGAGCCCUCCCCCAGCCUGGCUCUCCCAUCCGCUGCCUCCAAGUCAAAUGUACCCACAGCACAUGGGCCCUUCCUGUCCAGCCCUCGUGUUGUCCUUGGGGGCCAUGUGAUGCUGGGGUCAGCCUUUUAUCCUGGACAGCUAUGUGUGAGCCUUGGCCCUUCCUGGGGCAGAGGUCCCUGAUUGGUGUGGGUACCUGCAGCCUCUACCUUUCUUCCACUCUCUGCCUAUUGUCUAGAAUGUAUGUGGCUCCUUCUCUUCUGAAUGCUGAAUCUUAAGAGUAGUCAUUGUGUCAGCUUUGGCCAUUUUCUUUGCUUACCAUCCCCUUGAAAACUGCAGCCAACCCUCUCCUGACCUGUUCCAGUUAGUGCACACCUCUCUUCAUUUUUGGAAUUUAACCUGUAUGUACAUGCUGGAAGUCUCCUUUUUCUUCUGGAUUAAAUCCCUUUUAUCCUUUUGAAAAUCAGCCGGAAUCUGCCACUCCUAAUAUAAAUAAUUCAACUCAGCAAGUAGGUAUGGGAUUGCCCUGUUAGAUGGGGUGAGCUGAGGGUCACUGAGGACCAGUGAGGGGCUUGGCGCAGGGGAAAAGCCUUAGAGGGCUGUGUUGGGAAUCCUGAGCCUAGCAAGGUCUCAAGCCCAUCUGCCUGCCACGCACCUUCUCACGGUGCCUGGUGUGUUGGGCACUGCUCCAAGGACUUUGCAGACAGCUUGGGGGGCUUGAGUUGCACAUUGUUUGUUCAGUGAUCCCACUUCAUGGACAGAGAAACUGAGGGACAGAGAGAGAAGUAAUUUGCCUCAGGCUGAUGGCCAGUUAAAUGCUGGAACCAAGACUCCAGCCCCCAAAGGCCUUCUAGAUUCUUCCUGAGAUUCUCAGCCUCAGCUUCUGGGACUCUGCACAGUUGGUGUGAGCAGCACUCUGGCCUCUCCCUGCUUGGUGCAGAGGAAGUUUUCCCCCAAGUGGUAAUGAGAAGAGUCUCAUCAGUGCCAAUGUCCUAGGCACAGAAUCACCCAAGGUGUGAGCUGCCUUAGCUCAAAAAACACCACUUUCUCAGCUGGGACUUUCAGUACUAGAGCAGAUGUUUUGUGACUUUUCUUCAGGAAAGUAUUUCCUUUAUUAUUUUUUUUAGAGAUAAGUAUUUCCCUUAAUUUAUUAUUAUUUUUUUUUUUUUAGAUAGAUUUAGGUGCUCUACCCCUGAACUACCCCAGAACUUUAUUUUGAGACAGAGUCUUGCUAAGUUGCCUAGGUUGGCCUUGAACUUGCAAUCCUGCCUUGGCCUCCCAUGUUGCUGGGAGUUGCAGUUGUCCAGAUAACUACUGCUUAGAUCUACUCACUAUUAAUAUGCUGCCUUAACUGUUUUCUCUUUCUGCUUGGAAAAAAAUAUACUUUGUUGUCACUGGACUAUUUGAAAGUAAAUCACAGACAUUUUGACAUCUAAUCUCUUAACACUUUAAUGUGCAUCCACUAAGCAAGGACAGUCUCUUGCGUACCCAGGGUAGUUUUUCAUGCCUGAAUCACUAGUAAUUCCCUCCAUCUGUUGCAGAGUCCAGUUCAACUUGCCUGGUGUCCUCAGAAUGUCCUUCCUACAGGUGUCUUGUCCUCCUUCUGACUGAGGCUUUUGCUGAGCUUGCCAUGGUGCCUGUCUGCAGUGCUCUUCCCACCUUUUCCUGUGACUUUUUGUUUUAAUUUUCUGUUUGGAGAAGUUGCAGUUAUUUAUAGAAGUAGAGAGAGUUAAUGCCUGUGCCCAUACCAGCAGUGCUCAAUUCCUGGCUGACGCUACUUUUUGAAAGGGCCAGGUUGUUAUUAGAGGAUGUCCCUCACUUGUGAUUGCUUAUAUUUCAAGGUCAGAAGGUGCCUAUCGAGUACAGGGGCACAGCUGGUGGCUGAUGUUGCUUCUUAUCCACUGGGCGGAGGUCUUGCUGGGAAGGUCAGUUGCAGCAGAACCCUUGAGAGCCAGAGUGGCAGCAGGUGUGUGAUGGUAGCAAGGCACCAGCUUCAGGCCAUCUUGCCCCGGAUCCACUUGGCUCCAGUCCCUUCUGACUGGACACUGCCCCUGCCUCCUUGGACUGAUCUCCUGAGUGGGGGGUCAGCCCAGCUCCCUCUCACUUCCUCCCUGUGGCCUUGGGACCCCUCACAGUGUACUGCUGAAUACAGCUUGCUCUGUGCCUUCCCUUUCCUUUUGGACCUGGGCACACGUUCUGCUUUCCAGCCACAUAGGCCUGUUUCCCACUCCUCAGAGAUGCCCAUGCCAUCCUGGCCUUGGGCCUCUGGGGACACUGUCCACGAGGAGGUUCCCCACUGUCCAGGUCGUGGUAUGUGCCUCCACGUUGUGCUCUCUGGGCUGGCCAUGGAGCGCUGGCCAUGGAGCUCUGGCCCUGGUCGUAGGCAGAGCUGGUUUGUCUGUGUGCCCUGCAUUGUGGCAUGGGGUAGAGGACUCUGGGAUAAGGUGGGCAGUGGUCAGGAUGACCGCCUAGAGCCAGCUGCUCUGCAGGCAUUCCUAGCUCCUGCUGUGAGCAUCUCUGCGGUACCUACUCCCUGGGCCUCUACAGGUUGUGCAUGUCAUGGCACUGGAGACAUCUAGGGUGAUGAGGUAAAGUCAGAUGGGCUGCAGGUGUACCCCCUCUGCCUGGGGCUUCCUCUGUUGCCUCUGGUUUCUUGAGAAUCAGUGCCUAUAGCUUGUGGCCUUGCUGAACAGAAGGUUUGGUCAGCCAGUUCUCCUGGGACAGUAGGUCAUGAACCUUGUCCGUUGACCUCUGUGUUGUUUUAAAGUCCUUGGAAUUGUUUUCAUGGCUGCACACCUUGGCCAGAAACCAAUUGGGUGUCUGCUCCUUGGUUGGCCCAGCUCUUAGGGCAGUGCUGUCCGGUGACACGGUGGGCUUUAUUCCCUUAAGUGCUGAUUUGCUAGAAGAAUUAGCAGUUGAGGAAUCUUUUUUUUUUUUUAUAUAUAUAUAUAUAUUUUUUUUUUAGUUUUCCGCAGACACAACAUCUUUGUUUGUAUGUGGUGCUGAGGAUCGAACCUGGGCUGCUCGCAUGCCAAGCCAUAGAGCUACCGCUUGAGCCACAUCCCCAGCCCCAAGUUGAGGAAUCUUUAAAAUCUCACAUUUCAAAUGAGCCUGGGAGCCAGAUGGAGUGGCACAUGCUGUGGUCCAGCUAUUUGGGAGGCUGAGGUGGGAAGGUUACUUGAGCUCUAGAGCGUGAGACCCCGUCUCUGAAUAAACAAGAUUGAGAGGUCAAGGUCGCCAGUGAGUCUGAUAGCUGCGGUGCUGCCCCUGGGCUGAGCCUGGCCCCGGACCAUGUGCACAGUUUUCUCUGCCUCCUCACCCUUCAGGGAGGGGCUCUCUGGGGUCUGGUGAGUUGGGAGCUCCUUGUGCCUUUGUGCCUUCAGAACAGCAGUCCUCAAAAGGGUCAGUUCUCCUUCCUGCACUUACUUCUAAUUGUGUGGCCUGUGAGUGGCCUGCCUUUCUGUGGUCACUGGUCAGUGUUUCUCAGUAACUGAUAGGUCACAGGGCCACCAAAAGAGUGAUGGUGGGUCUUGGCAUAGACAGGCCAGGUCAUGAUGAGUUCUUCCUGCAGAGACUGAGGGGACUUUGACAGUCGGGCAUUUUUAGUCAUACCACCUUGGCCUUUCUUUGCCUGGGGUAUGCUUCCUUCCGGGAGUUAGGCCUGUUCCUUUGUCCUGGCAUCCUGGCUUCAGGUUGGUGGCCCAGUGAGUGAGGCACCCUGUCCUGGGUGCCACCUUGCUGAGCCUGCUGUGGCUCUUUGCAGUUGCAGCUCUGCCCCUUCCACUUGGCUCUGCUGAGGAGCAGGCGGAAGCCCUGGCCUUGCCCUGCAGUGUUCUUCAGGAGGAACUUCAGGGGCCCAUCUGCAAGGUAACCAGCCCCCGUUCCAUGGACAUGCACACCCCGCCCCCCAAGGCAGGGAGGCGUUCUGUGUCAGGGGAAUGGAGGCAGAGGGGCCUGAGCAGGACCUUCUGUUGUACCUGCAAGGCAGGGGGCCUCUGUACACAUGCAGUGCCUGGGACCCAAGAUGACUGGGGCCCUGACCCAGGACAGCAUAACCAGCAGAUGCCGGCACAUCAGGAGGACAUAUGGCCAUCUGCCUCAGACAGAAACAGGGAAACCGUUCUGAGCAUGGAGAGGGGGACUGCCAUGGGUGGGGUCAGGCAAGAGAUAGGAGCAUCCAGAAGAGAGGUGGGGAGGUGUGUUCUAAGCAAAAGGAAAGGCCUCUGAGGCCCUGCGGGCAGUGAGGCUGGACCAUAUUGGACAGCUCUUCCUCCCAGCAUCUGUGCAUGCUCACACUCUGUGUCCUUGGAACCGACAGACUAGAAGUGGACACAGGUGGAUGAGCAAGCCUCCUGAGUGCAGCAGCAUGGAGGUUUGCUCUCCUUGUCUUUAGCUCCGCUGGGUUUGGGUGUCCUACCAGUCACUGUCCCAAUGCUCACAACCUAACUGACCCAUCAUGAGGGGUAGUGGUGGCUGUGACUCUGGGCAGUGCCCUCGUCCCAUGGAGUGCAGACCCUCCAGGCUGCUUUAGCUUGGCUGAGCCACUGUACACCAGUGGCCACAGUGGGACUGAACACAGGGAGACUUUCCCUCAGAGCUGCCUGAUGUCCACAUCAUUGUGGGCCGUCCUCACUGAGGCUCAGUCUUGGGAGGGUAGCCCCUGCAGCUCCUGUCUGCCCCUCAGGUCCUCGAGUCCCUCGUCGCUAUGGAAGAGGACGCUUUCCACCACUGUGUUGGGGGUGCCCCUGCUCCUUGGAAUCCGCUAUUUCACAGCAGAGGCCCGGGAGAAGAGGAAGAUGCGGCUUGUGGUAGAUGGCUUUGGGCGCUUUGGCAGGUAGGAGGGCACAGGUGGGCUGUGCCUGUCCUUGGAAGGGCUGCAGUGUUCUGUGGGGACUCUUGCCACCUUCCAGGUGUCUUUGGCUGUGGGGGGUGGCAAGCAUUGUUGCCAUGCCACACGUGGAUGAGGGACUGCCAGGGAGGGCCUCUCACACUGGAUGUAGCCCCACAGACCCUUGGCUGGAUGGCAGCUGCCACCUUCCCUUCUCACCCCACCACAAGAAGAGCUGGUCUCCCAGACAGGCCUGGGCUGGCCACAGCAGCCGCCCUGUUCCUAGUACCCAUGGUCUUCCAGGCUCUCCUGUCUCAGUGCAGAAUGGAGGGCAUGGGACAAUCUGUUCCCUGCCAAGUUGACCCUUGUGGGCACUGGCAAGCCUUGGCUCCUGGUGUUUUGUGGUAGUGCCAACAUGCCUUCCAGCUGCCCUUCCUCCCCUGUGCGCCACACUGUCACUCGCUGACACUAUUAUUUGGGUAAAUUGUUUACGGUGGUCAGAAGGUGGUUCUUCUAAUUUAGUCAUUCCCUCAACAUAUAUUGCUGGCAUCUCUUGUAAGGGAGCUCUCUGCCAGUUAUGAAUCCAUUGGUUUAUUUAUACCAUCUAGACUGAGAGAUUUGCUUUAUUAAUGUGUUACUAUAAGUAUCAUUUUUUUUGGGGGGGGGGUAUUAGGGAUUGAACUUGGGGGCACUCGACCACUGAGCCACAUCCCAGCCCUAUUUUGUAUUUUAUUUAGAGACAGGGUCUCACUGAGUGGCUUAAGGCCCUGCUAAGUUGCUGAGGCUGGCCUAGAACUUGUGAUCCUCCUGUCUCACCCUUUCAAUUUGCUGGGAUUAUAGGUGUGUGCCCCAUGUCUAACUUCUCCAACAUUUUAUUUUGAAGAAAUUAAAACAGCAAAGUUGAGCACGCUCUAUGUGCCAGGUGUGGCGCCAUACUCCUAUAAUCCUAGCUGGGGAGGCUGAGGCAGGAGGAUCACAAGUUCAAAACCAGCCUCAGCAAUUUAGAGAGGGCCUAAGCCACUCAGUGAGACCCUGUCUCAAAAUAAAAAGGGCAGUGGUAAGGGUUAGGGUUAGGGUUAGGGUUAGGGUUUCUUUCCUGAGCGUUCUGCCCCUUCCUGGCACUGCUGGAUGUAUCAGGCUCUCCAGUCUUUCCCUGCCCAGCCCUGGGGUCAGUUUGGGGUGGGAUGGUUGGAGCCACUCCUGAUGCAAGCAGGCCUUGCCUUGCGAGGUGCACAGCCGGGAUCGGGUGUGCACAGACACCACUCCCAUGUGCCUGUGGCUGCGUUCCUCGUUGGUUAGAAGACCACGUGCUCACAUGGAUGCCUCCCGUUCCUAGCAGAGCCAUUCUGUCUCCCUCUGCAUUAGUGGAAUACUGAGUGUGGCCACCAUCCUCACCUCAGGUCACCUGAAGGCUCCAGGUCUGCAUUGCUCAAGGGGGAAGGGGCCUCCUGGAGUCCCAGGGAGCUGAGCAGUCCUCUCCAUGCCCACUCUGCUGGCCACCCAAGCCCUUGUGGCAGAGGUUCCCCCUGUGGGACGGUCCAGCUGUGGAGGACAGCUUAGCAGGUGCAGGGCAAGGCCUCACCUUGCCACUCCCAUGGUGAGGGACCUAUAUCCCAGAAUGGAAGGGAUUCUUCCCCUCCCAGCUGUUAGCCGGGGUCAGACCACCCACCUUUUAGCUCUGAGCCCCCCUGUGCUGCAGUGUCCAGACCGACCAGCUGAGCAGCUCUCCAGGAUCCCCACCCUUGGGCUCCAUUCUCAGAGGAGCAGUGACCUUGCUUCUCUUAGUCUUGGAGACCCUUCCUCCUCCUUUUGGUGGUGACAAGAGGCCUUCCUGAUUGGUGCAUGUUUUUGCCCCGUCCCCACUAUCUAUCUCCCCCUUCCCUGGGUUUCUGUGGGUGCUAACAGUCAGGAGUGAGAGUGGCCUUGUGAGACCUGGGACUGAGACUGACCAGCAGGCACUAACUAGCUCACUAGGACCUGAGUCCUGUAGACUGGGUCCUGGCUCCAUCUCUCCCUUGGCAUGGGGUUGGCGGGGGUGAGGUAGAGCCUGACAGGGCUCUGAGAAGAGGAACCAGCACUGGACUCCACCUCAUAGCCUACCUUCAGGGGCUAAGGCCUCCUCUGCCCGCAGGUCCCUGGGGAUUGGCCUGUACAUCUCCCUGGACUACUGGUGGUGCACAAAUGUCAUCCUGCGAGGGGUGGAAGAGGUUUGUCCCCCUGCCCUGGGCAUGCAGGGGGCACACUGGAGGUGGUGGGUGCCUUGGGGACUGAGGAGGUGGCUGCCUGCCCCCAUCCUCCCCUCCCCGUCUAUGGUCAGAACAGCCCGAGGUACGUGGAGGUGAUGUCUGCUUGUCACCAGCGAGCAGCUGAUGCCCUGGUGGCAGGGGCCAUCCGCAAUGGUGGCCUCUACGUGAAGCUGGGCCAGGGACUAUGCUCCUUCAACCACCUGCUGCCACCAGAGUACAUCCGGACACUGCGUGUACUAGAGGACCGGGCCCUCACUCGGGGCCUCCAAGAGGUAAGGCCUUACAGAGGAGGGAAGGGGGUGCAGUAGUGCCCCCCUGCAGCUCCAAGUGCUGGCUCCUCCCAGGUUGAUGAGCUGUUCCUAGAAGACUUCCAGGCACUGCCCCUUGAGAUCUUCCAGGAGUUUGACUACCAGCCAGUGGCUGCAGCAAGCCUGGCUCAGGUGCACCGUGCCAAGCUGCACGAUGGCACUGCUGUGGCUGUGAAGGUACUGGGGCCACCACCCUGUGCCAGGUGGGCUUCGGGCUUGGUGGCAACCCUGGGUCCUCAGUGUGCCUCUGCCUGCUGCAGGUGCAGUACAUUGACCUGCAGGACCGCUUUGAUGGGGACGUGCACACGCUGGAGCUCCUGCUGCGGCUCGUGGGGCUCAUGCAUCCCAGCUUCAGCUUCAGCUGGGUCCUGCAGGUAAUGCUACUCAGAGCAGGCCAGGCAGUGGGCGGGAGCUGGUCCUCGACCUGACCAACCGCCCACGUAUGGCCGCAGGACCUAAAGGGGACCCUGGCCCAGGAACUGGACUUUGAGAAUGAGGGCCACAACGCCGAGCGCUGUGCACAGGAGCUGAAGCACUUCCCCUACGUCACCGUCCCCCGAGUGCACUGGGACAAGUGCAGCAAGGUGGGCUGGGAUGGUCCUGGGGGUGUGGCGGCAUGGGCCUCUUGAGCUCAGCCUCCUGCCCUCCCACAGCGUGUGCUAACAGCCGACUUCUGUGAGGGCUGCAAGGUCAACGACGUGGAGGCCAUCGAGAGCCAGGGGCUGGCAGUGCGGGAUGUGAGUGCUGUGCACCUAGUCAGGGGGUGGGGUGGGGGUGCUGCCGGGUCUGCUGCACAUCCUGCCCCCUCCCCAGGUAGCAGAGAAGCUGAUCCAGGCUUUUGCUGAGCAGAUAUUCUACACAGGCUUCAUCCACUCAGAUCCCCACCCUGGCAAUGGUAGGACCCCUGGGAGAUGUCUUGGUGGGUGGCCUGGAUUGACAUGCUGUGUCUGCCACCCUGGCGAUGGUGGCCUCAGCGACAUACUCUGUCUGUAGUUCUGGUGCGGAGAGGCCUGGACGGGAAGGCAGAGCUGGUGCUGCUGGACCAUGGGCUCUACCAGUUCCUGGACGAGAAGUGAGCUGUGGGCAGGUGGGACCCUCUCCCUGUGGCCUGGCCUUUCCUGCCCUGAGACGUGGGGCUCAUAGCCAGACCCUCCCACAGGGACCGGUCAGCGCUGUGCCAGCUGUGGCGCACCAUCAUCCUGAGGGACAAGGCUGCAAUGAAGGAGCACGCAGCUGCACUUGGUGUAAACGGUAAGGGCAGGUGCAGCCCCAGGUUGGGCAGUGCUAGCCGGACACAGCCCAGCUCAGGCCCUGCCUCCACAGACUACUUGCUGUUCUCUGAGAUGCUCAUGCAGCGGCCUGUGCGCCUAGGGCAGCUGUGGCACUCCCACCUGCCCAGCCACGAGGAGGUGGCCUACAUGCAAGACAUGGCCCGCAGCCACUUCGAGGCCAUCAUGCAGGUGCUCCGGGCACUGCCUCGGUCCAUGCUGCUCGUGCUGCGCAACAUCAACACGGUCCGUGCCAUCAAUGUGGCUCUUGGCACCCCUGUGGACCGCUACUUCCUCAUGGCCAAGAGGUUAGUGACCGAGGGGGUUCCCUGGGGGUGGAUGAGGCCCAUGGGCUGAUGCCUGUGUCCGACACAGUGCGGUCAGAGGCUGGAGCCGCCUGGUGGGUGCAGCAUACCCAGGUAUCUACGGCAGUGGCCUCCUGCGCCACAUGAAGGUUGCCUGGGAGAUGUUCAAAUUUGAGGUGGCUCUGAGGUGAGUAGAUAUGUGGUACUGGUUGGGUGGUGGGCCUGGGCCUUCUGACAACCAAUCUUUGACCCCCUACUCUACACCCUCCCAUAGGUUGGAGACCCUGGCCAUGCGGCUCACCGCCCUCCUGGUUCGUGUUCUGGUCUACCUGGGCCUUGUGCCUCAGGCCGAGGAGCUCUACCAGUACCUGGAGACAUAGAUCCCCAGGGCCAGGAUGACCACACAGCUGCUCUUAGCCCUGGCCCACUGACAUCAGGCAGUCGGGCACCUCACACUGUGGGGCAUGGGGCAGUCAUGGCCUGAAGCAGGGGAAGCAUUGUGGGGCCCUGACCAGCAAUGACCACACACUCGUCUCAAACAAUUUGUUUUCCUUGUU